Sorghum bicolor (sorghum) is the source of this 207-nucleotide microRNA precursor. It matches the Rfam family "MIR812 microRNA precursor family". The record is from Rfam. Lineage: Eukaryota; Viridiplantae; Streptophyta; Magnoliopsida; Poales; Poaceae.
AAAAAGUGUCGUUUUAGAAUUUCAGACAUCUUAUUUGACCAUUCGUCUUAUUCAAAAUUUUUACAUAAAUAUUAUAUAUUUUGUUAAGACUUAUUUUAUCAUUAGAGAUACUUUACCCAUGAUUAAUUUAUUGUAUAAUUUACAUAAAAUUUUUGAAUAAGACGAACGGUCAAACACGAUGUCUGAAAGUAAAAAACGUCACUUUUU